AGACCGAUAGCGAACAAGUAGAGUGAUCGAAAGAUGAAAAGUACUUUGGAAAGAGAGUUAAAAAGCACGUGAAAUUGUUGAAAGGGAAGCGCCUGCAACCAGACUUCGCGGCAGUGUUCCGCCGGUCUUCUGACCGGUUCAUUCUCUGCCGUGAGGCCAUCAUCGUCUGGGCCCGCCGGAUAAGACCUUGGGAAUGUAGCUCACCUCCGGGGGAGUGUUAUAGCCCAGGGUGAUGCGGCGCGGCUCGGGCGAGGUCCGCGCUUCGGCAAGGAUGAUGGCGUAAUGGUUGUCGGCGGCCCGUCUUGAAACACGGACCAAG
This 319-nucleotide ribosomal RNA is filed under the name Neopseudocercosporella brassicae. RNAcentral's name for it is "eukaryotic LSU rRNA". It matches the Rfam family "Eukaryotic large subunit ribosomal RNA", at positions 331 to 670 of the family's 3401-position model. The record is from RNAcentral. Lineage: Eukaryota; Fungi; Ascomycota; Dothideomycetes; Mycosphaerellales; Mycosphaerellaceae.